Arachis stenosperma is the source of this 117-nucleotide small nuclear RNA. RefSeq annotates it as U5 spliceosomal RNA. The record is from RefSeq and is a predicted model, not a curated record. NCBI's taxonomy places the organism in Eukaryota, Viridiplantae, Streptophyta, Magnoliopsida, Fabales, Fabaceae. The transcript has a single exon.
AGCCGUGUGUUGAGCACAGAGCGAACUAUUCUUUCGCCUUUUACUAAAGAAUACCGUGUGUUCUUCACAUUUAGCGGCAUACGCUAAUUUUUGAUAGAGUCUUUCCUUUGGAAGACU